GUUUCCUUCCUUCGCUGCCCAAGUGGUGGCGCCUGGCUAGACUGCGUGUGGGCCCCGGAGGGAUCCGGGGGUGCGGAGCUUGCGAGGCCGCCAAAGCUGUUGUCUCAACAAGGAGAGUCUGGGGCUAGUCCAAAGUCGUGUCUACAGCCUGCAGUUUGGUGUUUGAUUUGGAGGAAAUAUUUACUCUCCCUGGCCUCAGUUUACCCUUCACAUAAUAUAUUGAGUGCUCACCGAGCCAGGCUCUUUAAGGUAUUAUCUCAUUUAAUCACCACUACCAUGUAACGGCAUAGGGAGGCAAAGCUUACUUCCCUACACUGAGGAGAGUACACGAAAGCUGCUGUGGAGGCAGGAGUAUGGGGCUUGGAGUUAGAAAACUUAGGUUCAAAUCCUAGCCCUGCCACUUCCUAGCUUGGCCACCUUGGGCAGGUGAAACUCUGAAU
RNAcentral lists this long non-coding RNA (440 nucleotides) under Homo sapiens (human). Its description in RNAcentral is "non-protein coding lnc-PTPRU-10:1". The record is from RNAcentral. Lineage: Eukaryota; Metazoa; Chordata; Mammalia; Primates; Hominidae.